RNAcentral lists this ribosomal RNA (247 nucleotides) under uncultured bacterium. RNAcentral's name for it is "partial 16S ribosomal RNA". It matches the Rfam family "Bacterial small subunit ribosomal RNA", at positions 86 to 334 of the family's 1533-position model. The record is from RNAcentral.
AGAUGGCGACCGGCGCGCGGGUGAGUAACACGUAUCCAACCUGCCGAUAACUCGGGGAUAGCCUUUCGAAAGAAAGAUUAAUACCCGAUGGUAUAAUCAGACCGCAUGGUUUGAUUAUUAAAGAAUUUCGGUUAUCGAUGGGGAUGCGUUCCAUUAGGCAGUUGGUGAGGUAACGGCUCACCAAACCUUCGAUGGAUAGGGGUUCUGAGAGGAAGGUCCCCCACAUUGGAACUGAGACACGGUCCAA